CAGCUUGUGUGCGCGGAGGCUCGUGCGCGCGGAGGAGAAGCAUGCUUCACUGACAAGUUGUUCCCGCUAUCCUCGCUGCCUCUGCCAGUGACGUAACUUGGUGUGGACAACAUGUUGGAAAGAGAGUGUUCAUCCCUAUGAUCCCUUUGGCGCCCUCGGAGGACAUUUCGCUUCCUUUCAAGUUGAAGAGGAAAAAGUUCCCUGGAUCGAUCCUGUAGAGCCCCUUCCGUAACCAAGUCCCCUCCCCACUCGGAGUCCUCCGCCACUGACGUACGGGUAAGCGCAAGAGCUGCGGUGCAUCCACGCGGUUCAACGAGCUGCCGAUGUCGUAGAUAACCAAGACGUACACGGAGAUAAGCAAGAUUCAGUGCGCUGCCCUGCCCCCACGCGCUCUGAGGGUACGAUGUCCCCGGCGUGUCCAAGAUAAGGUCCAGGAAGACCCUCGCCUUCGUUAUCCUGGAAUAUGUUGUUUAAAUAUGAAGAGGUGGAUAAGUUUCUGGGUUUAGUUACUGAAUAUCCAGAUCCGGCUUGCUUCUCAGCCAUGGCCUACAUUUAGAAGAAAUAUGUUGUUUAAAUAUGAAGAGGUGGAUAAGUUUCUGGCUUUAGUUACUGAAUAUCCAGAUCCGGCUUGCUUCUCAACCAUGGCCUACAUUUAGAGAAGACAUGUUCAUAUGUAAGAGAUUUAAGGUCAAUGAUCUCCCCCUGUUGUAAUGCUCAUCAUCUUAAUUCAGACAUUGCUAUAUAUAUGCACCAUGGUUCAUGACUGUACU
This is a non-coding RNA of Triticum urartu, 770 nucleotides long. Lineage: Eukaryota; Viridiplantae; Streptophyta; Magnoliopsida; Poales; Poaceae. The record is from RefSeq and is a predicted model, not a curated record.